UCGACAGACAGUAACGUCAUUGUAUAAGUGCAGGCGGAGUGCGUUGAAAACAGCUGCUGGUUUCUGUUUUUAGAGAUGUCUCUUCUGCGCGCGUGUUCCUCCAGCAGACAGCUGUUCUGUAAGAGUCCAGCUGCGGAGCCGCUUUUCACAGAGUUCCCUGAUGAUGUGAACCCUGUGACGAAGGAGAAGGGGGGCCCACGGGGUCCAGAGCCAACUCGCUACGGAGAUUGGGAGAGGAAGGGCCGGUGUGUAGACUUCUAGCUGAUUAUCUGUAAAUGAAUAUGUACCUUAUGAGUAUGGAGAUGUUCUGUAAAAUGACAUACUGAUGCAGUUUGGAGAUGUGUGCAGCCAUUAGUGGUUUUCUGUCUUUUGUUUAAUCGUGAUGGAGGAGCAACGAGCAAGUUGCCAAAUUAAAUAAAACAACAAAGAUACA
This is a non-coding RNA of Neolamprologus brichardi, 433 nucleotides long. NCBI's taxonomy places the organism in Eukaryota, Metazoa, Chordata, Actinopteri, Cichliformes, Cichlidae. The record is from RefSeq and is a predicted model, not a curated record.